Molecule: ribosomal RNA, 180 nt
Filed under: uncultured Glomeromycotina
Lineage: Eukaryota; Fungi; Glomeromycota
Description: partial small subunit ribosomal RNA
Rfam family: Eukaryotic small subunit ribosomal RNA (bases 36-180)
Source: RNAcentral
GGGUCAGUAUGUUGGUCGUGCUUCGGUACGUACUGUCAUUACUGGUUUCUACCUUCUGAAGAACCACGAUGUCAUUAAUUUGGUGUCAUGGGGAAUCAGGACUGUUACUUUGAAAAAAUUAGAGUGUUCAAAGCAGGCAUUAGCUUGAAUACAUUAGCAUGGAAUAAUAAAAUAGGACUU